AGUUGUGUUAAGGUAUGGAGGAUAAUGUGCUAGGCUUCCGUGUAGCAGCUCUAUUCAGACGCAUUCUCUUUUUCAAGUCUGUGUGUGUGGAAAAUUAAAUGCGUGCAAGCUUUACUUAAUGAAUUUUGGAAAAACUCAGCCUCAUCUCUUAAAACCACUGAGGAUUAAACAGCAUAGCUGUCUUGGAUAAACUCAGGAUUACUUUGCAUCUGUUUGACUGACUGAUUCUUAGGAGAUCUUAAGUCUGACUCUAUAUGCAAGACUGCCAAACUUAAACACAGUAUUACUGAUUUGCUGGCCUUAUAGCACACUUCACAUUUUAUGACAUUUAACUUGGGUGGCUCAAUCUGUGUUGGUUGUUUUUACAACUGGAGCUUUGGGUUGAUGCCCUUUAAAGGCUGGGCUCUUCAGAUAAACCCUCUUACGUUUGUGGCCUGAAAAAGAUUUUCUUUAUUUCCGUUUAGUAGAGUUGACAGUGAAGAGCUGACAUGUCUCGUUAAACAUGUCAGCUCUUCACUGUCAAGUCUACUUAUGUUAGAUUUUUUUGUCUAACAUAAGUAGACAAAAAAGUCUGUUAGACUUUUGACAAAAAUAGACUGGCAAAACUAAGUAUAAGAGAGUUGAGGCAGAAGUUCACAUCGACCCAUCAUGUCAUUUUAGGUUUUAGUGGUUUAUUUCAACCGUUCUUAUUUAUAGUGUAAAGAUUAUGUAUCACACAACUCCAAUGAAUUUUAAAGCAAAAGUGUGUUUGAAUUUCAAAUUAUUUCUGGAUUUUCUCUGCAUAACAUUGGGAGCCUGUCAAUGUUAUGCACAGGCUCCAGUACUAAAUAAAUACCGUACUCCUCCACUAAUAUUGGAUAAAUGUUCCUAAGCAGGCCGCACCAAAAACACAUUUUUAUUGAAAUCAUCAAACUUCAAGUUCUGGCAAUAUUCUUCAGAAAUGGUCAAGCUCAAUAAAAUUGGUUGUUUUUGUAUUUUUACCAAACCAACUUCUGAGCAUUGUCCAGAAAUUUUCAGUAAGGUUGAGUUCAAGGCCAUUCCAGACUUAAAGAGUAACUAAAUCCCAAAUCCAUUAUUUAUAGUAGACUAUUAAGUAGUAGUAGAGUGGACCUGGGACCAUUAGAGCCAGUGGAAAAGGGGCAUAAAUGUGUCCUUAAGAUUCUAUCUCUAUGUUUCUCUGCAAAUGCUGACAUUUUCUCAGAAAUUUGUUGAGUUCUGCAAUAUUUUGCCUAAAACCAUCUCAGUGCUUCCCUCUUUGGGCUGAACAGUGACUACUUUAUGCAAUGCACCAGCAAAACAUCCUUUCAGCCACGACAUAACUUGACAUUUUCCGUAGUGAUCAGAAGCUUGUAACUGUGACCUUCACUUCUCUAAACAUGCUUCUUGUCACUGAGACUGAUCCAAUCUUUCUUGUCUAACCAUGAAACUUUAUUUCAGAUGACAUCUGGAUGGUUGCAAAUUUCAGUUGAAUGGAAAGGUGUCGGCUUUAUUUUUUCGCUCUGCAUUUUCUUUGUUGUUUAUUGUUUUGAUCGUUUCACCCUGACAAAAGAGUGAUCUCAAAUAAGUAAAAGCCCAAUAUGGAUGACAUUCAUGCCCAUGUUGACUCUGCUAAACGGAAUCAUGGCUGCUUUUCCAUCGAUCGAGGUUCCACCAUGCGAAGCAAGAACAGACCAAACAAACAGUUCUCCCAUCAGUGUUUGUGGUCGAGCUACUGAGCCACCUUUAAAUGUUUGCCUCGAGUUAGUCACUUGAGCAGAUUAUCCACUGCGAGUUUAUUUUUGGCAGAAUAACCCUUUAAUUGUGUCUUUAUCCCCUCUCACAAUAGCACUUUAUGAGCAUGUUUCCACAAAAUAGCUUAUCUCACAUGAGGCGAGAAGAAAACAGGACUGGAGCUGCUCUGGUUUAAUGAACAAGCAACAAGCCAAGACCAUGCAUAUACCUUUAAAACCAGCGUGUGGUUGUGCCUGUGGAUAGGUGUGUGUGAGUGUCUGCUCGUGACAACACCUUCCUCCCACACAUGCAGUGCACCGCAUUGCAAAUUGGAUGAUGUUUCCAGCGUAGAGGGCAAUCACAGGACAGACAUUUUGCCUUUUCUCAGAAUUACCUUAUGAGGCUCUAGAGGACACCGGUAUGUGGCGGCCACACACAAACCACGCCCUAAUUAACCAUCUCUGGGGUGUAGAGAAAUGCACGUGCUCCCUUGAUUUUUACUGGACUCCCAGGAGGGCUUCUUUCCUUCCUCGGGUUGGUCUUUCUUUGUGUUUACAGUGAGCCUGAUCUGCUGUGAUUUUGCUGCCUUAGCCCUUUUUCACUGUGAGAGCAGGAGAUAAGUGAGCCUGUCUUAGAUGAAGGCCUUGUGGCACACUCGCUUCGUCUCAGACACUGACACAGACAAGCCUUUCUGUCACCAUUUCAUAUUUGGUUUUGUGUCGCCGUCUGUUCUCUGUGGUCUCUUUAAGCUUUGACAUGGUCCUCUGCAGGAAUAGCCUAAAUAUAUAUAAAUUAUUUUCCAUUCAUCUCAUCUGAUUCAAAUUUAACAUAUUUUCCCUUUUCAGGGUUGCAUAAAUUCAUUCAAAGCGGCCCACUCCUUUUUUUUUUAUUUGAUUGCCUGAAGGCCCGAUUUAACUAGAAUGGAUCUAUCCAGUUUCUGAAGACGUCAGACGGAGAUAAGGCUGCAUACAGGCCUUAGAUUGAUUAAAGUGCAUUACUCUGAAAGCAGGGUAGAAAAUCUCAUUGUGAAGACUUGACAUUAUGUACGAGAAGAGAUAUAAGCAGAAAAUCGUUAGUGCCAAGCGUUCUAUAGGAGUAAAUUUUUGCAACGGCAGAUACCAAAAACAACCCUAGCGACUGAAAAGAGCAGAAAUACAGCAAUACUGCAUAUGUAAUUUGUUGAAAAUUUUUUUCAUGAGCAACAGUAUAUUGGAUUAAAAUAGUUUCCAGGUCUGGAAAAAGAAAACUGUAAUAAGUAUAAUUCCAGAAUUUCUCCCUCCUCCAUUCCUUUUUUCCUUCUUAUUUAGACAUUUCUGCUAAUAAGUUGUGGAGAAAUGUUGGACUUUUACUCUUAAUAUUCUGCUAAACAGGACUGAGGAACUGUGAGCCUUCAAAAGAGUCGAAUUUUCACAUGAAAAAUGAGUGGGUACCUUGAGUAUUUUAUCAAAGCUAAACCAAGAUUAAAGGAUGAUUUCUCAGUAUUGUGGCAGACUCUCCAGAAACACUCAAGCAAAGAUUUACUCUGAUGAUUUUUGGCUUUUGACGGAAAGGAAAGAGAAACUUUUGGCCUGUGGCCAGCAUUUCAGCCAUUGACUUUGUGUAACAUUGAUGUUCCUUCCAGGUAAUUGCUUCCACCUUGGGCUCAGACUUCUCAAAGACAAACCUAUUGUAAGAAGGUCAACACAGGAAUUUCUCUGCCUUCACGCAAUGAUAGUUUCAAAUUGCACUUCAGGAUGCUGUGGACUCGAAUUAAAUCUGGUUUACCCUUACAGUAAAACUACAGUUUAGCGUGAGAGUUGCAGGAGCUUCACAAGUGUUUAAUGCUUGUUGUGAGUUAGUCACAGCUGCCAGCUCCACGUUUAUUUAAUUUCAGAUCAGCCAGUGCGUUAUACUAAAGCAGUAUUGUUUUAAGUUGUAUUUUAUACCCUUGAGAGCAUAUGUAAAUAAUCCAGGGAGGUAAAUUAGAUUUACAAAAGUCUUGAUCCAUUUGGUAUGAUAUUCAAAUCAGCUUUUCUAAGCAUUAGCAUUUAUUCACCAUUGCAUAAGUAUGAUCUGUUUUCAUUUGGGAAAUAUCCAUUGCUACAUGCUCUGAACUGUACACUUUCUAAUCUAUUGCUUUGUCUCCCUGCAUGAUGCAGCAAGACUGCUUGAGCUUUAUGGGUUGAAAGCAAAGUUAUAGAAAAGAGAAAGUUUGUCAUUAAUGUCAUGAGAAGCAACUACAUACAUCCUUGCUGCUUUAGUUGGAUUUAAGUAAAAUUAAGGAAAAGUAGCAGUCAGGUACUGCAAAUCAAAUGCAAUUGAUUUAUUGAUAUCCAGCAAUGUUCACUUCGGUUUUUAAAGUUUGUAAGUGUGGAGUAAACAGGUUUUUAUAAGCACAAUGCCAAGAAGGAAUAGAAGCAAUUGUUUGUGGCCAUCACCCUAUUAAGGGUCAUAAGGACAUUUCCAUAUAAUUUGAAGUUCAUUUUACAGUGAGAAUGAUUAUUCACUUGUGUAAAACAUUUAAGACAAUUUUUCCUGGAGUGAACAUCUCAGCGAAAUCAUCACAAGGUUAGAUUGUUCAACACUCAGAAAUUGCAAAACAAAAAACUUAGAUCUCCAUCUCAGACUCUGCAGGCUUUUGUUUGCAUGUUAAAAGAUUCAGAACAGCACAAUAAACAAAUAUAAGUAUUUUUUAAAAUACCAAAUAUUCCACCAAACACCAAUGCAUAGCCACAGAUCACUAGUCUGGGUGCUGCUGGAUUAAUAGCAAGUUUUCAAUCGGCCAUGACUUUAUGAGUCCUGAUCUUUAGUGUCAUAGAAUAGGUGGAGCAAACCUUGGAUGUGAGUCACCAGAAAUGUCUUUGUCUCAAGAUUUUGAGAGGCACGAUAGGAAAAAAGACUAAUGUUUCAGGCCAGUUGAGGCAUAUGGGUCUAUUGAGAAAACUAAACUUACCAAUGUCCUUUGGACAGAUGAAACUAAAGUUCAGUUGUACAGCCAGAAAACAACUGCUUUGUUUGAAGAACACCAAACACAGCAUAUUGGCACAUACACCUCAUACCACUUAGGAAGCAUGGUGGAAGCAUAGUGGUGGAGAAGCAAUGAUUUGGGCUUGUGUUGUACUUACUGGGCAUUGGCAUGUGGGAUUCAUUGAAUGCACUUCAAACCCCAAUGUAUACCAAAGUAUGUCAGAGUUAAACAUCUGUCCAACAUCUAAAGCUUUGCAGGAAUUAAGUUACUAACAGGACUGGGGUCGCAAACACAGCAAAAAAUCUCAAUCAGGAUGACUGACAAAGAGAAGACAAAGCUGUAAAAGAUAAAGAAUGUCCUGAAAAAUGCUACAACAGAAUCUGUGUGUAAGUAGGAUUCUGAUUCUGUGUGGGUUUGCCACUGUUGGAUCACGGAAAGAUUUGCGAAAGGGUUUACCAGACACAUAUUUACAGCAACCCUAGGGAUCAAUGGAGCCUUGAAUCCCCACUUGUAAAAUGUCACUGAAAAUGUCACUGAAACAGAGGACCCCAGAAAGAUAAAGGUUUGCCUCAAAUACGAGUCGCAAUAAUAGAAGAAAUAAAACUUAAAAACCUCAGACAUGAGUAACAGCAGUAAGCUGUUACUUAUUGAUUAAGACAAAUCGAGUGCAAAGAUAUGCAUUCAACAACAUAAAAUGUAGCCUGUCAUUAAAGAAGCAAAAGCACUACAGAAAGUUGAGUAAAGAUCCUGUCUCCUAAUAGUAGCUGUCAGAUUCUUUGCUUUGAGCGUUAAAAAAUGAAUCUGUUUGCGCUCGCUGUGUUGUGAGCCAGAGCUCAGUUAUGUUCAAAGAACAUAAGACUCUCUCUGUCUGUCUGAGAUGGCCUCUCCUGGCCUGCACAAUGCCUGUGAGACGUGGCUGUUUUCCACACUCCCUCAGCCCAGCCCACCAUAGCUCCAGCUUUCUUCUCUUCUUCUGAAGUUUUCUUUCUGGGGAGCAUUUCAAAGGCAGCCCCAUCCCCACCCCUGUCCAGGCUGAAUUUUUCUCCAUUUCUCGCUCUAACGUUUAACGCUCUUUUUUUCAUUCCUAACUCUUCCAAUUUCUUUCCCUUUUUUAUGUUCGCGGUCCCCGUCGGCCUUUCUCUUGGCCCGGUUCCAGGACAGUUGCAAAGUAAAUCACUCAGUUAGCAGGUCCCAUAAGAAAACAGAGAAUUCCAGGGAAUCCUGAGCCUCUCCUGCCUGCUCUUCCCUCCAUUUCUGUCCUGCUGUGAUUCCUGUAUGCUCCAUGUGCAGCGCAUAGAUUUUAGUUUGUGUAAAAGAUGCAAAGCUUGCAUUCACAAAUAGCAUGUUAUAGUUGGAAUACUGAGGGAAGGAUUUUGUGAGCAGGUUGAUCUGUAGAUGCUGUCAGUCACGCUUCAUUCUUAAAAAAAAAACAUUGUUGUCCUCAUUUCGCAAAAAAAA
Long non-coding RNA from Xiphophorus hellerii (green swordtail), 6115 nucleotides. RefSeq lists it as uncharacterized. Lineage: Eukaryota; Metazoa; Chordata; Actinopteri; Cyprinodontiformes; Poeciliidae. The record is from RefSeq and is a predicted model, not a curated record. The transcript is spliced from 2 exons.